RNAcentral lists this ribosomal RNA (253 nucleotides) under uncultured Oscillospiraceae bacterium. Its description in RNAcentral is "partial 16S ribosomal RNA". It matches the Rfam family "Bacterial small subunit ribosomal RNA", at positions 524 to 776 of the family's 1533-position model. Lineage: Bacteria; Bacillati; Bacillota; Clostridia; Eubacteriales; Oscillospiraceae. The record is from RNAcentral.
UACGUAGGUGGCAAGCGUUAUCCGGAUUUACUGGGUGUAAAGGGCGAGUAGGCGGGAUUGCAAGUCAGAUGUGAAAACUAUGGGCUCAACCGAUAGAGUGCAUUUGAAACUGCAGUUCUUGAGUGAUGGAGAGGCAGGCGGAAUUCCCGGUGUAGCGGUGGAAUGCGUAGAUAUCACGCAGAACUCCGAUUGCGAAGGCAGCUUACUAAGCCAUAACUGACACUGAAGCACGAAAGCGUGGGGAUCAAAAAGG